UAGGGAAUAUUGGGCAAUGGGUGAGAGCCUGACCCAGCCAUGCCGCGUGCCGGAAGACGGCCCUCUGGGUUGUAAACGGCUUUUAUAUAGGAACAAGAGCUGGGAUGCGUCCUAGUGUGAGGGUACUAUAAGAAUAAGCACCGGCUAACUCCGUGCCAGCAGCCGCGGUAAUACGGAGGGAGCUAGCGUUGUUCGGAAUUACUGGGCGUAAAGCGCGCGUAGGCGGCUAUUCAAGUCAGGGGUGAAAUCCCGGGGCUCAACCCCGGAACUGCCCUUGAAACUAGGUAGCUAGAAUACUGGAGAGGUGAGUGGAAUUCCGAGUGUAGAGGUGAAAUUCGUAGAUAUUCGGAAGAACACCAGUGGCGAAGGCGACUCACUGGACAGUUAUUGACGCUGAGGUGCGAAAGCGUGGGGAGCAAACAGGAUUAGAUACCCCCGUAGUCC
This 444-nucleotide ribosomal RNA is filed under the name uncultured prokaryote. RNAcentral describes it as "bacterial SSU rRNA". It matches the Rfam family "Bacterial small subunit ribosomal RNA", at positions 355 to 796 of the family's 1533-position model. The record is from RNAcentral.